This 70-nucleotide transfer RNA is filed under the name Loxodonta africana (African savanna elephant). It matches the Rfam family "tRNA". From Rfam's summary of the family: Transfer RNA (tRNA) molecules are approximately 80 nucleotides in length. The record is from Rfam by way of RNAcentral. Lineage: Eukaryota; Metazoa; Chordata; Mammalia; Proboscidea; Elephantidae.
GCCAUGGUGGCUUAGUGGUUAAGCAUUUGGCUGCUAACCGAAAGGUUGGCAGUUUGAACCCACCAGAGUU